GACGAACGCUGGCGGCGUGCUUAACACAUGCAAGUCGAACGGAAAGGCCCUGCUUUUGUGGGGUGCUCGAGUGGCGAACGGGUGAGUAACACGUGAGUAACCUGCCCUUGACUUUGGGAUAACUUCAGGAAACUGGGGCUAAUACCGGAUAGGAGCUCCUGCUGCAUGGUGGGGGUUGGAAAGUUUCGGCGGUUGGGGAUGGACUCGCGGCUUAUCAGCUUGUUGGUGGGGUAGUGGCUUACCAAGGCUUUGACGGGUAGCCGGCCUGAGAGGGUGACCGGCCACAGUGGGACUGAGAUACGGCCCAGACUCCUACGGGAGGGAGGAGUGGGGAAUAGUGCACAAUGGGCGGAAGCCUGAUGCAGCAACGCCGCGUGCGGGAUGACGGCCUGCGGGUUGUAAACCGCUUUCGCCUGUGACGAAGCGUGAGUGACGGUAAUGGGUAAAGAAGCACCGGCUAACUACGUG
This 468-nucleotide ribosomal RNA is filed under the name uncultured bacterium. RNAcentral's name for it is "partial 16S ribosomal RNA". It matches the Rfam family "Bacterial small subunit ribosomal RNA", at positions 28 to 507 of the family's 1533-position model. The record is from RNAcentral.